GACGAACGCUGGCGGCGUGCUUAACACAUGCAAGUCGAACGGAAAGGCCCUGCUUUUGUGGUGUGCUCUAGUGGCGAACGGGUGAGUAACACGUGAGUAACCUGCCCUUGACUUUGGGAUAACUUCAGGAAGCUGGUGCUAAUACCGGAUAGGAGCUCCUUCUGCAUGGUGGGGGUGGGAAAGUUUCGGCGGUUGGGGAUGGACUCGCGGCUUAUCAGCUUGUUGGUGGGGUAGUGGCUUACCAAGGCUUUGACGGGUAGCCGGCCUGAGCGGGUUACCGGCCACAUUGGGACUGAGAUAAGGCCCAGCCUCCCACGGGAGGCAGCAGUGGGGAAUAUUGCACAAUGGGCGGAAGCCUGAUGCAGCAACGCCGCGUGCGGGAUGAAGGCCUUCGGGUUGUAAAACGCUUUCGCCUGUGCCGCCGCGUGAGUGACGGUAAUGGGUACAGAAGCACCGGCUCACUACGUG
This 468-nucleotide ribosomal RNA is filed under the name uncultured bacterium. RNAcentral's name for it is "partial 16S ribosomal RNA". It matches the Rfam family "Bacterial small subunit ribosomal RNA", at positions 28 to 507 of the family's 1533-position model. The record is from RNAcentral.